This 302-nucleotide ribosomal RNA is filed under the name uncultured bacterium. Its description in RNAcentral is "partial 16S ribosomal RNA". It matches the Rfam family "Bacterial small subunit ribosomal RNA", at positions 508 to 807 of the family's 1533-position model. The record is from RNAcentral.
GCAGUAGCCGCGGUAAUACGUAGGUGGCAAGCGUUGUCCGGAAUUAUUGGGCGUAAAGGGCUCGCAGGCGGUUUCUUAAGUCUGAUGUGAAAGCCCCCGGCUCAACCGGGGAGGGUCAUUGGAAACUGGGAAACUUGAGUGCAGAAGAGGAGAGUGGAAUUCCACGUGUAGCGGUGAAAUGCGUAGAGAUGUGGAGGAACACCAGUGGCGAAGGCGACUCUCUGGUCUGUAACUGACGCUGAGGAGCGAAAGCGUGGAGAGCGAACAGGAUUAGAGACCCCUGUAGUCCCUGUCUCUUAUAC